GUCACGCCCGAAGUCAUUACCCUAACCGCAAGGAGGGGGAUGCCGAAGGCAGGGCUAGUGACUGGGGUGAAGUCGUAACAAGGUAGCCGUACCGGAAGGUGUGGCUGGAUCACCUCCUUUUAGGGAGACCUUCACACAAGAGCAACCCAAAAAAUAACGCUCUUUUGUUGUGACAAUCCCAAGGUCGUGCCAGAGAUAGGUAGUGUAACUUUCCAACUAACGAUCGGUUCGUGCUCUAAUUUAGAGCAAAACUAGCACCUUGAAAACUGCAUAGAAAAUAGAUAGAGAAAAAAGAUAUCAGAUGUCUGAUAUCCAGGUGAAAAAAAAUCCAGGUCAAGCUACAAAGAGCUAACGGUGGAUACCUAGGCACACAGAGG
Molecule: unclassified non-coding RNA, 377 nt
Filed under: uncultured cyanobacterium
Lineage: Bacteria; Bacillati; Cyanobacteriota
Description: partial contains 16S ribosomal RNA, 16S-23S ribosomal RNA intergenic spacer, and 23S ribosomal RNA
Rfam family: Bacterial small subunit ribosomal RNA (bases 1-120)
Source: RNAcentral